RNAcentral lists this ribosomal RNA (443 nucleotides) under uncultured bacterium. RNAcentral's name for it is "partial 16S ribosomal RNA". It matches the Rfam family "Bacterial small subunit ribosomal RNA", at positions 339 to 795 of the family's 1533-position model. The record is from RNAcentral.
CUACGGGCUGCUCCAGUGGGGAAUAUUGCACAAUGGGCGCAAGCCUGAUGCAGCAACGCCGCGUAAGGGACGACGGCCUUCGGGUUGUAAACCUCUUUUAGCAGGGAAGAAGCGAAAGUGACGGUACCUGCAGAAAAAGCACCGGCUAACUACGUGCCAGCAGCCGCGGUAAUACGUAGGGUGCAAGCGUUGUCCGGAAUUAUUGGACGUAAAGAGGUCGUAGGCGGUUUGUCGCGUCUGCUGUGAAAAUCCGAGGCUCAACCUCGGACCUGCAGUGGGUACGGGCAAACCAGAGUGCGGUAGGGGAGAUUGGAAUUCCUGGUGUAGCGGUGGAAUGCGCAGAUAUCAGGAGGAACACCAAUGGCGAAGGCAGAUCUCUGGGCCGUAACUGACGCUGAGGAGCGAAAGCGUGGGAGCGAACAGGAUUAGAUACCCCCGUAGUC